CGAAGAGUAGGGAUGCAAGCGUCAAGUGCCGACGGGACGGGGAGUUGCCGGUCGGACGAAAGGCUGUUUUUUGCACGGUGUGUGGAAAGCGGUGCUGCGGUUUGUACCCCGCAUCCCGCUUCC
Clostridium sp. CAG:448 is the source of this 123-nucleotide regulatory RNA element. It matches the Rfam family "THF (Tetrahydrofolate) riboswitch aptamer". From Rfam's summary of the family: THF riboswitch presents a pseudoknot that joins P1-P2 and the loop of P3 and two THF binding. The record is from Rfam. Lineage: Bacteria; Bacillati; Bacillota; Clostridia; Eubacteriales; Clostridiaceae.